Molecule: ribosomal RNA, 406 nt
Filed under: uncultured bacterium
Lineage: Bacteria
Description: bacterial SSU rRNA
Rfam family: Bacterial small subunit ribosomal RNA
Source: RNAcentral
UGGGGAAUAUUGCGCAAUGGGCGCAAGCCUGACCCAGCAAUACCGCGUGUGUGAAGAAGGCCUGAGGGUUGUAAAGCACUUUCAAUGGGGAGGAAAAAGGCAAGUUUAAUACGCUUGCCCUUGACAUUACCCAUACAAGAAGCACCGGCUAACUCCGUGCCAGCAGCCGCGGUAAUACGGAGGGUGCGAGCGUUAAUCGGAAUUACUGGGCGUAAAGCGUGCGUAGGCGGCCUGCCAAGUCAGAUGUGAAAGCCCUGGGCUCAACCUGGGAACGGCAUUUGAAACUGGCAGGCUCGAGUUGGGUAGAGGCGGGCGGAAUUCCGGGUGUAGCGGUGAAAUGCGUAGAUAUCCGGAGGAACACCAGUGGCGAAGGCGGCCUGCUGGGCCCAAACUGACGCUGAGGCAC